Molecule: ribosomal RNA, 274 nt
Filed under: uncultured bacterium
Lineage: Bacteria
Description: partial 16S ribosomal RNA
Rfam family: Bacterial small subunit ribosomal RNA
Source: RNAcentral
AUACGGAGGGGGCUAGCGUUGUUCGGAAUUACUGGGCGUAAAGCGCGCGUAGGCGGCUUGCCAAGUUGGGCGUGAAAGCCCGGGGCUCAACCCCGGAAUUGCGCUCGAAACUGGCAGGCUAGAGACCGGGAGAGGAGAGUGGAAUUCCCAGUGUAGAGGUGAAAUUCGUAGAUAUUGGGAAGAACACCAGUGGCGAAGGCGGCUCUCUGGACCGGACCUGACGCUGAGGCGCGAAAGCGUGGGGAGCAAACAGGAUUAGAAACCCCAGUAGUCC